GAUGAAGAACGCAGCGAAAUGCGACAAGUAAGGUGAAUUGCAGAAUUCCGUGAAUCAUCGAGUCUUUGAACGCACAUUGCGCCCCCUGGUAUUCCGGGGGGCAUGCCUGUCCGAGCGUCAUUGCUGCCCUCAAGCACGGCUUGUGUGUUGGGCCUCCGUCCUCCUCCCGGGGGACGGGCCCGAAAGGCAGCGGCGGCACCGCGUCCGGUCCUCGAGCGUAUGGGGCUUCGUCACCCGCUCUUGUAGGCCCGGCCGGCGCUUGCCGACACAUCAAUCUUUUUUCCAGGUUGACCUCGGAUCAGGUAGGGAUACCCGCUGAACUUAAGCAUAUCAAUAAGCGGAGGA
Molecule: unclassified non-coding RNA, 345 nt
Filed under: soil metagenome
Description: partial contains 5.8S ribosomal RNA, internal transcribed spacer 2, and large subunit ribosomal RNA
Rfam family: 5.8S ribosomal RNA (bases 1-120)
Source: RNAcentral